UACGGAGGAUGCGAGCGUUAUCCGGAUUUAUUGGGUUUAAAGGGUGCGUAGGCGGACUGUCUAGUCAGCGGUAAAAUUGAGAGGCUCAACCUCUUCCCGCCGUUGAAACUGGUGGUCUUGAGUGGAUGAGAAGUACGCGGAAUGCGUGGUGUAGCGGUGAAAUGCAUAGAUAUCACGCAGAACUCCGAUUGCGAAGGCAGCGUACCGGCAUCCAACUGACGCUGAGGCACGAAAGCGUGGGGAUCAAACAGG
RNAcentral lists this ribosomal RNA (252 nucleotides) under uncultured bacterium. Its description in RNAcentral is "partial 16S ribosomal RNA". It matches the Rfam family "Bacterial small subunit ribosomal RNA", at positions 524 to 776 of the family's 1533-position model. The record is from RNAcentral.